AGCAGCCGCGGUAAUUCCAGCUCCAAUAGCGUAUAUUAAAGUUGUUGCAGUUAAAAAGCUCGUAGUUGAAUUUCGGGGUUCAUACGUUGGUCGGGCUUUUUGGUCUGUACUGGCGUAAUGGAUUCCUACCUUCUGAAUAACCGGCAUGUCAUUAAUUUGGUGCGCCGGGGAAGCAGGACUGUUACCUUGAAAAAAUUAGAGUGCUUAAAGCAGGCUAUCGCCUGAAUACAUUAGCAUGGAAUAAUGAAAUAGGACGGCAUGGUUCUAUUUUGUUGGUUUCUAGGAUCACCGUAAUGAUUAAUAGGGAUAGUUGGGGGCAUUAGUAUUCAAUUGUCAGAGGUGAAAUUCUUGGAUUUAUUGAAGACUAACUUCUGCGAAAGCAUUUGCCAAGGAUGUUUUCAUUAAUCAAGAACGAAAGUUAGGGGAUCGAAGACGAUCAGAUACCGUCGU
This 450-nucleotide ribosomal RNA is filed under the name uncultured Glomeromycotina. RNAcentral describes it as "SSU rRNA". It matches the Rfam family "Eukaryotic small subunit ribosomal RNA", at positions 569 to 1021 of the family's 1831-position model. Lineage: Eukaryota; Fungi; Glomeromycota. The record is from RNAcentral.